This 354-nucleotide ribosomal RNA is filed under the name Calyptocephallela gayi (helmeted water toad). Its description in RNAcentral is "partial 12S ribosomal RNA". Lineage: Eukaryota; Metazoa; Chordata; Amphibia; Anura; Calyptocephalellidae. The record is from RNAcentral.
GCAAUUCAUAUUACACUCUAGUUUCUUCUUUACUGCUAAAUCCACCUUCUGACUAGGUUUUCAUAAAUAGUCUUUCGUGUUUACUAUAUUAAAAAGUGUAGCCCAUCUCUUCCCAUUUCAUUUCUCUUGCGUCUUGACCUUACUUGUUUGCUGGCGCGCUUUACACUCACUUAAGAUUCGCUCACGAGGUAAGCUGACGACGGAGGUAUACAGGCUGAUAGACUAAAAAUGGUGAGGUUAAACGGGGGUUAUCGAUUAUAGACAGGCUCCUCUAGGGGGAAUGGGGUACCGUCAAGUCCUUUGUUUAAGCUUUGCCGUAGUUGGCGAUUCGGAGGUAACAAGAGCCGUAGGUCC